This 529-nucleotide ribosomal RNA is filed under the name uncultured bacterium. Its description in RNAcentral is "bacterial SSU rRNA". It matches the Rfam family "Bacterial small subunit ribosomal RNA", at positions 28 to 536 of the family's 1533-position model. The record is from RNAcentral.
GGCUAACGCUGGCGGCGUGUCUUAGCCAUGCAAGUCGAGCGGACUUAUGGGGUAACUUAUAAGUCAGCGGCGGACGGCGGAGUAACACGUAGCUAACCUACCCUCUGGACGGGGAUAACCUACCGAAAGGUGGGCUAAUACCCGAUGUAGUCAUCCUGUAUAGGGGUGAUGAAAGGUGGGCUUCUGUUUACAAGCUCAUGCUGGAGGAGGGGGCUGCGGCCUAUCAGGUAGUUGGUAGGGUAAUAGCCUACCAAGCCGAUGACGGGUAGCCGGCCUGAGAGGGUGACCGGCCCGAGGGGCACUGAGAUACGGGUCCCACUCCUACGGGAGGCAGCAGGCUAGAAAUUUGGGCAAUGGGGGAAACCCUGACCCAGUGACGCCGCGUGCAGGAAGGAGCCCGUUCGGGGUAGUAAACUGCUGUCGUGUAGGGAGAAGGGUACUAAGGUGAACAAUCUUAGUACUUGACGGUACUACAGGAGGAAGCCCAGGCUAACCUCGUGCCAGCAGCCGACGGUAAAAAUAGCGUACU